Molecule: ribosomal RNA, 253 nt
Filed under: uncultured bacterium
Lineage: Bacteria
Description: partial 16S ribosomal RNA
Rfam family: Bacterial small subunit ribosomal RNA
Source: RNAcentral
UACGUAGGGGGCAAGCGUUGUCCGGAAUCAUUGGGCGUAAAGCGCGCGUAGGCGGCCCGGUAAGUCCGCUCUGAAAGUCGAGGGCUCAACCCUGGAAAGCGGGUGGAUACUGCCGGGCUAGAAUCCGGAAGAGGCGAGUGGAAUUCCUGGUGUAGCGGUGGAAUGCGCAGAUAUCAGGAGGAACACCAAUAGCGAAGGCAGCUCGCUGGGACGGUAUUGACGCUAAGGCGCGAAAGCGUGGGGAGCAAACAGG